Scophthalmus maximus (turbot) is the source of this 119-nucleotide ribosomal RNA. The record is from Ensembl. Lineage: Eukaryota; Metazoa; Chordata; Actinopteri; Pleuronectiformes; Scophthalmidae.
GCUUACGGCCACACCGCCUGGUUCACGCCUGAUCUCGUUUGAUCUCGGAAGCUAAGGUAGGUUGGGCCUGGUUAGUACUUGGAUGGGAGACCGCCUGGGAAUACCAGGUGCUGUAAGCU